GACGAACGCUGGCGGCGUGCUUAACACAUGCAAGUCGAACGGAAAGGCCUGCUUUCCCUUGUGGAUUGCGGGUGCUCGAGUGGCGAACGGGUGAGUAACACGUGAGUGAUCUGCCCCCAACUUGGGUAUAAGCCUGGGAAACUGGGUCUAAUUCCCGAUAGGACUGCAGGGUGGUGCCUGUGGUGGAAAACGAUUUUCUAGUGGUUGGGGAUGAGCUCGCGGCCUAUCAGCUUGUUGGUGGGGUAAUGGCCUACCAAGGCGGCGACGGGUAGCCGGCCUGAGAGGGUGGACGGCCACAUUGGGACUGAGAUACGGCCCAGACUCCUACGGGAGGCAGCAGUGGGGAUUAUUGCACAAUGGGCGGAAGCCUGAUGCAGCGACGCCGCGUGGGGGAUGACGGCCUUCGGGUUGUAAACUCCUUUCGACCGCGAGGAAGCCACCUGGUUGGAAGGGUGGUGACGGUAGUGGUAGAAGAAGCACCGGCUAACUACGUG
This 494-nucleotide ribosomal RNA is filed under the name uncultured bacterium. Its description in RNAcentral is "partial 16S ribosomal RNA". It matches the Rfam family "Bacterial small subunit ribosomal RNA", at positions 28 to 507 of the family's 1533-position model. The record is from RNAcentral.